AUGAGUGUUCAGCAUCAUAUACACUAAAAUUGAAAUGAUACAGAAAAAAUUAUCGUGGCCCCUAAGCAAGGAUGACAUGCAAAUUUGUGCAGCAUUUUAUAUUCUU
Aotus nancymaae (Ma's night monkey) is the source of this 106-nucleotide small nuclear RNA. The record is from Ensembl. NCBI's taxonomy places the organism in Eukaryota, Metazoa, Chordata, Mammalia, Primates, Aotidae.